UACUUUUUAAAAUAAUGAGAUUCUAGGCCCAAAACUUUUGCCGUUAAAAAAAAAGUUU
This 58-nucleotide transfer RNA is filed under the name Cephalothrix rufifrons. RNAcentral's name for it is "tRNA-Phe". The record is from RNAcentral. Lineage: Eukaryota; Metazoa; Nemertea; Palaeonemertea; Archinemertea; Cephalotrichidae.